UACGUAGGGGGCUAGCGUUGUCCGGAAUCAUUGGGCGUAAAGCGCGCGUAGGCGGCCAGAUAAGUCCGGUGUGAAAGUCACAGGCUCAACCUGUGAAUGCCGCUGGAAACUGUCUGGCUAGAGUCCGGAAGGGGCGAGUGGAAUUCCUGGUGUAGCGGUGAAAUGCGCAGAUAUCAGGAGGAACACCGAUGGCGAAGGCGGGUCUCUGGGCCGAUACUGACGCUGAGGAGCGAAAGCGUGGGGAGCGAACAGG
This 253-nucleotide ribosomal RNA is filed under the name uncultured bacterium. RNAcentral's name for it is "partial 16S ribosomal RNA". It matches the Rfam family "Bacterial small subunit ribosomal RNA", at positions 524 to 776 of the family's 1533-position model. The record is from RNAcentral.